Molecule: ribosomal RNA, 253 nt
Filed under: uncultured bacterium
Lineage: Bacteria
Description: partial 16S ribosomal RNA
Rfam family: Bacterial small subunit ribosomal RNA
Source: RNAcentral
UACAGAGGGGGCAAGCGUUAUUCGGAAUUAUUGGGCGUAAAGGGCGCGUAGGCGGCCUGGCAAGUGGAAGGUGAAAUCCCUCGGCUUAACCGAGGAACUGCCCUCCAAACUGCUUGGCUUGAGUCCGGGAGAGGUGAGUGGAAUUCCCAGUGUAGCAGUGAAAUGCGUAGAUAUCGAGAGGAACACCAGUGGCGAAGGCGAGUCCCUGGACAACACCUGACACUGAGGCACGAAAGCUAGGGGAGCAAACAGG